UCAUGUCAGCUCAGCCAGCAAUCAGUAUUCCUUCAUAACCUUUCAAACUUAUUCAGAUCAAACAUUUUAGUCUUUAUGCAGUAGAAACACAAUAAUCAUUACCAUAGUUUAAGUAUGAUUAUGCAAUGUCAUGAUGUAACAAAGAAAUACUCAAAUUGCAUACAUACAAGUGAUUUAAUCGAUUAUUAAUCAGUUUAAGCCAUUAAUCACAAUUUCCACUUCACACAGAUUGAUUAAACCAGAAACAUAAUUUCAUUCAUAUAUUAGAAAAGGAU
Molecule: long non-coding RNA, 275 nt
Filed under: Vigna radiata
Lineage: Eukaryota; Viridiplantae; Streptophyta; Magnoliopsida; Fabales; Fabaceae
Description: long non-coding RNA (VRAD_LNC005240)
Source: RNAcentral